RNAcentral lists this ribosomal RNA (295 nucleotides) under uncultured bacterium. RNAcentral's name for it is "partial 16S ribosomal RNA". It matches the Rfam family "Bacterial small subunit ribosomal RNA", at positions 775 to 1067 of the family's 1533-position model. The record is from RNAcentral.
GGAUUAGAUACCCUGGUAGUCCACGCCGUAAACGAUGUGUGCUAGCCGUUGGGAAACCUAGUUUCUCAGUGGCGCCGCUAACGCUUUAAGCACACCGCCUGGGGAGUACGGUCGCAAGAUUAAAACUCAAAGGAAUUGACGGGGGCCCGCACAAGCGGUGGAGCAUGUGGUUUAAUUCGACGCAACGCGCAGAACCUUACCAGCCCUUGACAUGAUAGUUUCGAUUUCCAGAGAUGGAUCUCUCGGUUCGGCCGGACUAUUACAGGUGCUGCAUGGCUGUCGUCAGCUCGUGUUG